RNAcentral lists this transfer RNA (84 nucleotides) under bacterium. Its description in RNAcentral is "tRNA-Leu". It matches the Rfam family "tRNA". From Rfam's summary of the family: Transfer RNA (tRNA) molecules are approximately 80 nucleotides in length. Their secondary structure includes four short double-helical elements and three loops (D, anti-codon, and T loops). Further hydrogen bonds mediate the characteristic L-shaped molecular structure. tRNAs have two regions of fundamental functional importance: the anti-codon, which is responsible for specific mRNA codon recognition, and the 3' end, to which the tRNAs corresponding amino acid is attached (by aminoacyl-tRNA synthetases). tRNAs cope with the degeneracy of the genetic code in two manners: having more than one tRNA (with a specific anti-codon) for a particular amino acid; and 'wobble' base-pairing, i.e. permitting non-standard base-pairing at the 3rd anti-codon position. The record is from RNAcentral.
GCGGAUGUGGUGGAAUGGUAGACACGCAGGUUUUAGGUACCUGUGCUUCACGGCGUGAGAGUUCGAGUCUCUCCAUCCGCACCA